Bos taurus (domestic cattle) is the source of this 852-nucleotide long non-coding RNA. The record is from Ensembl. NCBI's taxonomy places the organism in Eukaryota, Metazoa, Chordata, Mammalia, Artiodactyla, Bovidae.
GAAUACAUUUCUGUUGUUUUAAGCCAACAAGUGUGUGGCAAUUUGUCACAGCAGCUCCCAGAAACUAAUCCACCUGGUAAAACUUAGAAUAAUAGAGAUCACCCUCAGGGUCAAGGAAAGAUUUAUAAACAGGGCUUCCUGAUAGUUCAGUUAGUAAAGAAUCUGCCUGCAAUGCAGGAGACCCUCAUUCAAUUCCUGGGUUGGGAAGAUCCUCUAGAGAAGUGAUAGACUACCCACUCCAGUACUCUUGGGCUUCCCUUGUGGCUCAGCUGGUUAAGAAUCUGCCUGCAAUACAGGAGACCCCGGUUCAAUUCCUGGGUUGGGAAGAUCCCCUGGAGAAGGGAAAGCCUACCCACUUCAAUAUUCUGGCCUGGAGAAUUCCAUGGACUGUAUAGUUCAUGGAGUUGCAAAGACUCGGACAUGACUGAGUGACUUUCACUUUCAAUAUACUAACAAGAAGAGAGCACCUUUCUAUGAAAAAUUCCACUAUGGGCCUUUGUUGGGGGCACAGAGGAGGAACUAAAAUAUGAACCAGCCAGAAAGAAGAGAUUUGGUUGACCAAGACAUGUCUUAGAGUUUGGUCAAGGGCUCUGCUCACAGGUUUCUACACUUGUACAAAUGCUGAAGAUGGAAAGGCCUUUCCUGAUUUGUUUGGAGAAUUGAAAUAGAAUUUUGCUUUCUUGCUGGAGGUCUCCAGAGGGGAUAGUCUCAUGAGAUGGAGCAAUUGAUCACAUUUGAUGGUUACCAGCUGGAUAAUGCACCUUCAAAUGGACUUUCCCCACUUCCUUGCCUCGUUUUACUAUUGCCUGCUUCCUUGAGGUUGAACCCUGAAUAAAGCAAUUCAUGUUACUC